This 275-nucleotide ribosomal RNA is filed under the name uncultured Actinomycetales bacterium. RNAcentral describes it as "partial 16S ribosomal RNA". It matches the Rfam family "Bacterial small subunit ribosomal RNA", at positions 528 to 802 of the family's 1533-position model. The record is from RNAcentral. Lineage: Bacteria; Bacillati; Actinomycetota; Actinomycetes; Actinomycetales.
UANGGCGCAAGCGUUAUCCGGAAUUAUUGGGCGUAAAGAGCUCGUAGGCGGUUUGUCGCGUCUGCCGUGAAAGUCCGGGGCUUAACCCCGGAUCUGCGGUGGGUACGGGCAGACUAGAGUGCAGUAGGGGAGACUGGAAUUCCUGGUGUAGCGGUGAAAUGCGCAGAUAUCAGGAGGAACACCGAUGGCGAAGGCAGGUCUCUGGGCUGUAACUGACGCUGAGGAGCGAAAGCAUGGGGAGCGAACAGGAUUAGAUACCCUGGUAGUCAAGGGCG